Molecule: ribosomal RNA, 253 nt
Filed under: uncultured bacterium
Lineage: Bacteria
Description: partial 16S ribosomal RNA
Rfam family: Bacterial small subunit ribosomal RNA
Source: RNAcentral
UACGUAGGGGGCAAGCGUUGUCCGGAAUCAUUGGGCGUAAAGCGCGUGUAGGCGGCUCGGUAAGUCUGCUGUGAAAGUCCAGGGCUCAACCCUGGGAUGCCGGUGGAUACUGUCGAGCUCGAGUCCGGAAGAGGCGAGUGGAAUUCCUGGUGUAGCGGUGAAAUGCGUAGAGAUCGGGAGGAACACCCGUGGCGAAGGCGGCCAACUGGGAUACACCUGACGCUGAGGCACGAAGGCGUGGGGAGCGAACGGG